GACGCUGGCUGGAGCUACACAUGCGGUUAACGCGCCUUCGGGUGAGCGCGCGGACGGGAUAGUAACGCGUGGGAACGUGCCCUUCUCUACGGAAUAGCCUCUGGAAACGGAGAGUAAUACCGUAUACGCCCUUUGGGGGAAAGAUUAUCGGAGAAGGAUCGGCCCGCGUUAGAUUAGGUAGUUGGUGGGGUAACGGCCUACCAAGCCUACGAUCUAUAGCUGGUUUUAGAGGAUGAUCAGCAACACUGGGACUGCGAACACGGACCAGACUCCUACGGGAGGCAGAGGUGGGGAAUCUUGGAGAAAAGGGGGCAAC
This 316-nucleotide ribosomal RNA is filed under the name uncultured Alphaproteobacteria bacterium. RNAcentral's name for it is "bacterial SSU rRNA". It matches the Rfam family "Bacterial small subunit ribosomal RNA", at positions 33 to 381 of the family's 1533-position model. The record is from RNAcentral. Lineage: Bacteria; Pseudomonadati; Pseudomonadota; Alphaproteobacteria.